AUUGAACGCUGGCUGCAGGCCUAACACAUGCAAGUCGAGCUAGCGGCGGACGGGUGAGUAAUGUCUGGGAAACUGCCUGAUGGAGGGGGAUAACUACUGGAAACGGUAGCUAAUACCGCAUACCAUCAGAUGUGCCCAGAUGGGAUUAGCUAGUAGGUGGGGUAAUGGCUCACCUAGGCGACGAUCCCUAGCUGGUCUGAGCGGAUGACCAUGCACACGGGAACUGAGACACGGUCCAGACGCCUACGGGAGGCAGCAGUGGGGAAGAGUGCACAAUGGGCGCAAGCAUGAUGCAGCCAUGCUGAGUGUGUGAAGAAGGCCUUCGGGUUGUAAAGCACUUUCAGCGGGUAGGCGUUACCCGCAGAAGAAGCACCGGCUAACUCCGUGCCAGCAGCCGCGGUAAUAC
This 406-nucleotide ribosomal RNA is filed under the name uncultured bacterium. RNAcentral's name for it is "partial 16S ribosomal RNA". It matches the Rfam family "Bacterial small subunit ribosomal RNA", at positions 30 to 526 of the family's 1533-position model. The record is from RNAcentral.